UACGAGAGGUGCAAGCGUUAUUCGGAAUCAUUGGGCGUAAAGGGUGCGUAGACGGCAAUAUAAGUCUGUUGUUAAAUUUCCUGGCCUAACUGGGAAUCUGCAAUGGAUACUGUUUUGCUAGAGGGUGAGAGAGAGAAGUGGAAUUCUUGGAGUAGCGGUCAAAUGCGUAGAUCUCAAGAGGAACACCGAUGGCGAAGGCAGCUUCUUGGCUCAUUUCUGACGUUGAGGCACGAAAGCGUGGGGAGCAAACAGG
Molecule: ribosomal RNA, 253 nt
Filed under: uncultured bacterium
Lineage: Bacteria
Description: partial 16S ribosomal RNA
Rfam family: Bacterial small subunit ribosomal RNA
Source: RNAcentral